RNAcentral lists this ribosomal RNA (161 nucleotides) under uncultured bacterium. Its description in RNAcentral is "partial 16S ribosomal RNA". It matches the Rfam family "Bacterial small subunit ribosomal RNA", at positions 355 to 508 of the family's 1533-position model. The record is from RNAcentral.
UGGGGAAUAUUGCACAAUGGGGGAAACCCUGAUGCAGCCAUGCCGCGUGUGUGAAGAAGGCCUUCGGGUUGUAAAGCACUUUCAGCGAGGAGGAAAGGUUGGCGCCUAAUACGUGUCAACUGUGACGUUACUCGCAGAAGAAGCACCGGCUAACUCGGUGC